RNAcentral lists this ribosomal RNA (251 nucleotides) under uncultured prokaryote. Its description in RNAcentral is "partial 16S ribosomal RNA". It matches the Rfam family "Bacterial small subunit ribosomal RNA", at positions 525 to 775 of the family's 1533-position model. The record is from RNAcentral.
ACGUAGGGUGCGAGCGUUAAUCGGAAUUACUGGGCGUAAAGCGUGCGCAGGCGGUUCGCUAAGACAGGUGUGAAAUCCCCGGGCUUAACCUGGGAAUGGCGCUUGUGACUGGCGGGCUGGAGUACGGCAGGGGGGGGUGGAAUUUCACGUGUAGCAGUGAAAUGCGUAGAGAUGUGGAGGAACACCGAUGGCGAAGGCAGCUCUCUGGGCCGUUACUGACGCUCAGGCGCGAAAGCGUGGGGAGCAGACAG